Molecule: ribosomal RNA, 433 nt
Filed under: uncultured bacterium
Lineage: Bacteria
Description: partial 16S ribosomal RNA
Rfam family: Bacterial small subunit ribosomal RNA
Source: RNAcentral
AACGAACGCUGGCGGCAGGCUUAACACAUGCAAGUCGAACGCACCUUUCGGGUUGAGUGGCAGACGGGUGAUUAACGCGUGGGAAUCUACCCUUCUCUACGGGAUAGCUCCGGGAAACUGGAAUUAAUACCGUAUACGUCCUGAUGGAGAAAGAUUUAUCGGGGAAGGAUGAGCCCGCGUUGGAUUAGCUAGUUGGUGGGGUAAAGGCCUACCAAGGCGACGAUCCAUAGCUGGUUUAAGAGGAUGAUCAGCAACAUUGGUACUGAGACACGGCCCAAACUCCUACGGGAGGCAGCAGUGGGGAAUAUUGGAAAAUGGGCGAAAGCCUGAUCCAGCCAUGCCGCGUGAGUGAUGAAGGCCCUAGGGUUGUAAAGCUCUUUCAGUGGGGACGAUAAUGACGGUACCCACAGAAGAAGCCCCGGCUAACUUCGUG